GAUGAACGCUAGCGGCAGGCUUAACACAUGCAAGUCGAGGGGCAGCAUGACACGGAGAUUCGUCGAAGUGUUGAUGGCGACCGGCGCAAGGGUGCGUAACGCGUGAGCAACUUGCCCGUUUCUGGGGAAUAACCGGUGGAAACGCCGACUAAUACCCCAUAGUAUAACGAAGAGGCAUCUUUUGUUAUUAAAGAACUUCGGAAACGGAUAGGCUCGCGUGACAUUAGCUAGAUGGCGGGGUAACGGCCCACCAUGGCGACGAUGUCUAGGGGUUCUGAGAGGAAGGUCCCCCACACUGGAACUGAGACACGGUCCAGACUCCUACGGGAGGCAGCAGUGAGGAAUAUUGGUCAAUGGUCUGACGACUGAACCAGCCAUGCCGCGUGAAGGUGACGGCCCUAUGGGUCUUAAACUUCUUUUGUUUGGGAAUAAAUGAUACUACGUGUAGUAUUUUGCAUGUACCUUACGAAUAAGCAUCGGCUAAUUCCGUGCCAGCAGCCGC
RNAcentral lists this ribosomal RNA (502 nucleotides) under uncultured bacterium. RNAcentral describes it as "bacterial SSU rRNA". It matches the Rfam family "Bacterial small subunit ribosomal RNA", at positions 28 to 518 of the family's 1533-position model. The record is from RNAcentral.